CUACGAAAGGUGCAAGCGUUGUUCGGAUUUACUGGGCGUAAAGAGAUCGUAGGUGGUUUGUUAAGUUGGAUGUGAAAUCCCGGGGCUCAACCUCGGAACUGCAUCCAAAACUGGCAGACUUGAGUUCGGGAGGGGUAAGCGGAAUUCCGUGUGUAGCAGUGAAAUGCGUAGAUAUACGGAGGAACACCUGAGGCGAAGGCGGCUUACUGGACCGAUUCUGACACUGAGGAUCGAAAGCGUGGGUAGCAAACAGGAUUAGAUACCCUAGUAGUCC
RNAcentral lists this ribosomal RNA (274 nucleotides) under uncultured bacterium. Its description in RNAcentral is "partial 16S ribosomal RNA". It matches the Rfam family "Bacterial small subunit ribosomal RNA", at positions 523 to 796 of the family's 1533-position model. The record is from RNAcentral.